Molecule: non-coding RNA, 258 nt
Organism: Paramuricea clavata
Lineage: Eukaryota; Metazoa; Cnidaria; Anthozoa; Malacalcyonacea; Plexauridae
Source: the annotation of a GenBank genome assembly
GUUGGGAUUGUAAUUCAGAUAAAUUUACAUUCUGUUUAGCGAAAUUAGCAGAAAUAGCCAAGUCAGUGGUUGCUACUAAGCGAAAUAUUCUAAGUAUAUUAGCCUGCUUAUUUGAUCCUUUAGGUAUAAUUUCACCAGUAGCAGUGAGUAUAAAGAUGUUAUUUCAGGAGUUGUGCUUAGACAGAGUUGAAUGGGAUGAAGAAUUUGAAGGUGAAAAGAAGAAGCGGUGGUUGAGUUGGGUUGAAGAUCUUGAACGAG